This 90-nucleotide microRNA precursor is filed under the name Chinchilla lanigera (long-tailed chinchilla). RNAcentral describes it as "miRNA (ENSCLAG00000018162.1)". The record is from RNAcentral. Lineage: Eukaryota; Metazoa; Chordata; Mammalia; Rodentia; Chinchillidae.
AUGAGAGGUGCACUCUGAGCACAAGCAUUUCUGGCCGCAGAUGAGCUUGGCUGUCACAACUCAUUUUUCUUCAUUCUCAUCCCACCUAAG